UAGUCCACGCCGUAAACGAUGGUUACUAGCUGUUCGAUUUUCGGAUUGAGUGGCUAAGCGAAAGUGAUAAGUAACCCACCUGGGGAGUACGUUCGCAAGAAUGAAACUCAAAGGAAUUGACGGGGGCCCGCACAAGCGGUGGAGCAUGUGGUUUAAUUCGAUGAUACGCGAGGAACCUUACCAGGGCUUAAAUGUAAGCUGCAUUAAUUAGAGAUAGUUAUUUCUUCGGACUGCUUACAAGGUGCUGCAUGGUUGUCGUCAGCUCGUGCCGUGAGGUGUCAGGUUAAGUCCUAUAACGAGCGCAACCCCUGUUGUUAGUUGCCAUCGAGUAAUGUCGGGAACUCUAGCAAGACUGCCGGUGCAAACCGCGAGGAAGGUGGGGAUGACGUCAAAUCAUCACGGGCCCUUACGUCCUGGGGCCACACACGUGCUACAAUGGUCGGUACAGUGAGCAGCGAUGCAGUGAUGCUGAGCGAAUCUAUAAAACCG
Molecule: ribosomal RNA, 489 nt
Filed under: uncultured bacterium
Lineage: Bacteria
Description: bacterial SSU rRNA
Rfam family: Bacterial small subunit ribosomal RNA
Source: RNAcentral